Molecule: ribosomal RNA, 158 nt
Filed under: Salmonella enterica subsp. enterica serovar Hindmarsh
Lineage: Bacteria; Pseudomonadati; Pseudomonadota; Gammaproteobacteria; Enterobacterales; Enterobacteriaceae
Description: partial 16S ribosomal RNA
Rfam family: Bacterial small subunit ribosomal RNA
Source: RNAcentral
UUAAAUUGAAGAGUUUGAUCAUGGCUCAGAUUGAACGCUGGCGGCAGGCCUAACACAUGCAAGUCGAACGGUAACAGGAAGCAGCUUGCUGCUUCGCUGACGAGUGGCGGACGGGUGAGUAAUGUCUGGGAAACUGCAUGAUGGAGGGGGAUAACUAC